GAGUUUGAUCCUGGCUCAGGACGAACGCUGGCGGCGUGCUUAACACAUGCAAGUCGAACGAAGAGCGAUGGGAGCUUGCUCCUAUCAAUCUUAGUGGCGAACGGGUGAGUAACGCGUAAUCAACCUGCCCUUCAAUGGGGGACAACAGUUGGAAACGACUGCUAAUACCGCAUACGAUCGUAAUUCGGCAUCGAGAUACGAUGAAAGGUGGCCUCUAUUUAUAAGCUAUCGUUGAAGGAGGGGAUUGCGUCUGAUUAGCUAGUUGGAGGGGUAACGGCCCACCAAGGCAAUGAUCAGUAGCCGGUCUGAGGGGAUGAACGGCCACAUUGGGACUGAGACACGGCCCAAACUCCUACGGGAGGCAGCAGUGGGGAAUCUUCCGCAAUGGACGAAAGUCUGACGGAGCAACGCCGCGUGAGUGAUGAAGGUCUUCGGAUUGUAAAGCUCUGUUAAUCGGGACGAAAGAGCCUAGUGUGAAUAAUGCUAGGAAGUGACGGUACCGGAAUAGAAAGCCACGGCUAACUACGUGCCAGCAGCCGCGGUAAUACGUAGGUGGCAAGCGUUGUCCGGAAUUAUUGGGCGUAAAGCGCGCGCAGGCGGAUCUGCCAGUCUGUCUUAAAAGUUCGGGGCUUAACCCCGUGAUGGGAUGGAAACUACAGAUCUAGAGUAUCGGAGAGGAAAGUGGAAUUCCUAGUGUAGCGGUGAAAUGCGUAGAUAUUAGGAAGAACACCAGUGGCGAAAGCGACUUUCUGGACGAAAACUGACGCUGAGGCGCGAAAGCCAGGGGAGCGAACGGGAUUAGAUACCCCGGUAGUCCUGGCCGUAAACGAUGGGUACUAGGUGUAGGAGGUGUCGACCCCUUCUGUGCCGCAGUUAACGCAAUAAGUACCCCGCCUGGGGAGUACGACCGCAAGGUUGAAACUCAAAGGAAUUGACCGG
Molecule: ribosomal RNA, 939 nt
Filed under: uncultured bacterium
Lineage: Bacteria
Description: bacterial SSU rRNA
Rfam family: Bacterial small subunit ribosomal RNA
Source: RNAcentral